RNAcentral lists this ribosomal RNA (2363 nucleotides) under Paraisaria dubia. Its description in RNAcentral is "partial small subunit ribosomal RNA". It matches the Rfam family "Eukaryotic small subunit ribosomal RNA", at positions 123 to 1707 of the family's 1831-position model. Lineage: Eukaryota; Fungi; Ascomycota; Sordariomycetes; Hypocreales; Ophiocordycipitaceae. The record is from RNAcentral.
GAUAGCACCUUACUACUUGGAUAACCGUGGUAAUUCUAGAGCUAAUACAUGCUGCGAUCCCCGACUUCGGAAGGGGUGUAUUUAUUAGAUUAAAAACCAAUGCCCCCUGGGCUCUCUGGUGAUUCAUGAUAACUUGGCGAAUCGCACGGCCUUGCGCCGGCGAUGGUUCAUUCAAAUUUCUUCCCUAUCAACUUUCGAUGUUUGGGUAGUGGCCAAACAUGGUUGCAACGGGUAACGGAGGGUUAGGGCUCGACCCCGGAGAAGGAGCCUGAGAAACGGCUACUACAUCCAAGGAAGGCAGCAGGCGCGCAAAUUACCCAAUCCCGACACGGGGAGGUAGUGACAAUAAAUACUGAUACAGGGCUCUUUCGGGUCUUGUAAUUGGAAUGAGUACAAUUUAAAUCCCUUAACGAGGAACAAUUGGAGGGCAAGUCUGGUGAGCACGCUGGCGCCAGAGAGAGCCUCGCCCCCCGUGGUGGGGGGCCAGAGGCUAGUCGAGCGCUCGUUACUGUGACGGGUGAGCGCCGGCGAGACAACCUGGAUCGGGGAAGGCUAAGGGCCCUAGAGGCCUACGCUGAUCCCGAGCAGAGCCGCCCGGGCGGCCUGUGUAGAGCGCGCAAAGGUGUCGGUCCCUGGGCCUGCGGGCCCCGGGGCUUAAGGUACGUGCCAACCCCCCGCGAAAGCGGGGCCCUGCGGACGAGCACCCGUCGUGCGAAGCCGCAGGGGGGGGGGGGACAGAUCCGCUGACGGGCCGCGAGCGAGCCCGUCCGCGGGGCACGUCCGCCCACGCAAGCAGGCCAGCAGCCGCGGUAAUUCCAGCUCCAAUAGCGUAUAUUAAAGUUGUUGUGGUUAAAAAGCUCGUAGUUGAACCUUGGGCCUGGCUGGCCGGUCCGCCUCACCGCGUGCACUGGUCCGGCCGGGCCUUUCCCUCUGUGGAACCCCAUGCCCUUCGCUGGGCGUGGCGGGGAGACAGGACUUUUACUUUGAAAAAAUUAGAGUGCUCCAGGCAGGCCUAUGCUCGAAUACAUUAGCAUGGAAUAAUGAAAUAGGACGCGCGGUUCUAUUUUGUUGGUUUCUAGGACCGCCGUAAUGAUUAAUAGGGACAGUCGGGGGCAUCAGUAUUCAAUUGUCAGAGGUGAAAUUCUUGGAUUUAUUGAAGACUCACUACUGCGAAAGCAUUUGCCAAGGAUGUUUUCAUUAAUCAGGAACGAAAGUUAGGGGAUCGAAGACGAUCAGAUACCGUCGUAGUCUUAACCAUAAACUAUGCCGACUAGGGAUUGGACGAUGUUGAUUUUUGACUCGUUCAGCACCUUACGAGAAAUCAAAGUGCUUGGGCUCCAGGGGGAGUAUGGUCGCAAGGCUGAAACUUAAAGAAAUUGACGGAAGGGCACCACCAGGGGUAAACAGAACAGACGACGCAGUUGCUCUGCCCCUAAAAGCAGCCGGGAAACCGGUCCGGUGGGAUCCUUGGCCGGGCGGCCGAAACAAUGCUAGUCGGCCUCCGUCUCCGCGGAGAGCAGCCGGCGACACCCCCAAAUUGCGGGAAGUCCCUAAAGCCGACUAAGACCAAGCGGGCGCCGAAAGGCGUCUCGUGGCCGAGCUAAUAGCCCUGGGUAUGGUAACACGUUAGUCGGAUGGUACAAUGGGUGAUCCGCAGCCAAGCGCCUGCCCGGCGAGCGCCCCAGCGCGCCGCCGAAGGGCGAAGGUUCAGAGACUUGACGGGGGUGGGUCUGGGUACAAGUACGCUCGUGUCCCCUGACGGCGGACUAGUCUAGCGUUGACAGCGGGCGUUUGAAAUGUACCCGGGCUUGAGAGAAAGCCCGUCCCCGUGCGAAAGCGCGACGGAGCCCUGAAAAACGGGAGCCUGCGGCUUAAUUUGACUCAACACGGGGAAACUCACCAGGUCCAGACACAAUGAGGAUUGACAGAUUGAGAGCUCUUUCUUGAUUUUGUGGGUGGUGGUGCAUGGCCGUUCUUAGUUGGUGGAGUGAUUUGUCUGCUUAAUUGCGAUAACGAACGAGACCUUAACCUGCUAAAUAGCCCGUGCCGCUCCGGCAGACGCUGGCUUCUUAGAGGGACUAUCGGCUCAAGCCGAUGGAAGUUUGAGGCAAUAACAGGUCUGUGAUGCCCUUAGAUGUUCUGGGCCGCACGCGCGCUACACUGACGGAGCCAGCGAGUGCUCCCUUGGCCGGAAGGCCCGGGUAAUCUUGUUAAACUCCGUCGUGCUGGGGAUAGAGCAUUGCAAUUAUUGCUCUUCAACGAGGAAUCCCUAGUAAGCGCAAGUCACCAGCUUGCGUUGACUACGUCCCUGCCCUUUGUACACACCGCCCGUCGCUACUACCGAUUGAAUGGCUCAGUGAGGC